GACGAACGCUGGCGGCGUGCUUAACACAUGCAAGUCGAACGGAAAGGCCCUGCUUUUGUGGGGUGCUCGAGUGGCGAACGGGUGAGUAACACGUGAGUAACCUGCCCUUGACUUUGGGAUAACUUCAGGAAACUGGGACUAAUACCGGAUAGGAGCUCCUGCUGCAUGGUGGGGGUUGGAAAGUUUCGGCGGUUGGGGAUGGACUCGCGGCUUAUCAGCUUGUUGGUGGGGUAGUGGCUUACCAAGGCUUUGACGGGUAGCCGGCCUGAGAGGGUGACCGGCCACAAUGGGACUGGGGUACGGCCCAGACUCCUACGGGAGGCAGCAGUGGGGAAUAUUUCACAAUGGGCGGAAGCCUGAUGCAGCAACGCCCCGUGCGGGAUGACGGCCUUCGGGUUUUAAACCGCUUUCGCCUGUGACGAAGCGUGAGUGACGGUAAUGGGUAAAGAAGCACCGGCUAACUACGUG
This 468-nucleotide ribosomal RNA is filed under the name uncultured bacterium. RNAcentral's name for it is "partial 16S ribosomal RNA". It matches the Rfam family "Bacterial small subunit ribosomal RNA", at positions 28 to 507 of the family's 1533-position model. The record is from RNAcentral.